Molecule: ribosomal RNA, 2888 nt
Filed under: Oogamochlamys gigantea
Lineage: Eukaryota; Viridiplantae; Chlorophyta; Chlorophyceae; Chlamydomonadales; Chlamydomonadaceae
Description: LSU rRNA
Rfam family: Bacterial large subunit ribosomal RNA
Source: RNAcentral
AYGGYGGAGACCUAGGCACUCAGAGACGAUGAAGGGCGCAGAUACCGGCGAAACGCUUCGGGGAGCUGGCAACAAGCGUUGAUCCGAAGAUCCCCAAAUAGGGCAACCUCUAUAGAACUGCCUAGAGAAUUCAUAUUUAGGAAAGAGGCCACCCGGUGAACUGAAACAUCUAAGUAGCCGGAGGAAAAGAAAGCAAACGCGAUUCCCGUAGUAGCGGCGAGCGAACCGGGAAGAGCCUAAACCCAGGUGGAUACGCCUGGGGGUUGUGGGAGGACAAGGCUUAUCCCCAUCUUCUUGCCCGUGCCCGUAAAGGGCAAGGGAAAGGGGGUGCAAAGCACGCAAAAGCAAGUUAGACGAAGCAGCUGAAUCCUGCACCAUAGAUGGUGAAAGUCCAGUAGUCAAAAAAUUUGCAUUAAUGUCCAAUCCCGAGUAGCAUGGGACACGUGGAAUCCCGUGUGAAUCCGCGAGGACCACCUCGUAAGGCUAAAUACUCCUGAGUGACCGAUAGAGAAAGAGUACCGCGAGGGAACGGUGAAAAGAACCCCUGUUGGGGAGUGAAAUAGAACAUGAAACCGUAUGCUGACAAGCAGUGGGAGGCAAAAAAAGAGCCUGACCGCGUGCCUAUUGAAGAAUGAGCCGGCGACUUAUAGGGAGUGGCUUGGUUAAGGAGUGAAAUCCGGAGCCGGAGCGAAAGCGAGUCUGAAGAGGGCGAACACGUCACUUCCUAUGGACCCGAACCCGGGUGAUCUAACCAUGACCAAGAUGAAGCGUGGGUAAUUCCUCGUGGAGGUCUGAACCGACCGAUGUUGAAAAAUCGGCGGAUGAGUUGUGGUUAGUCGGAGAAAUUCCAAUCGAACUCGGAGCUAGCUGGAUCUCCCCGAAAUGCGUUGAGGCGCAGCGGUGCGGAGCAAAACUGUCUAGGGGUAAAGCGACUGUUUCGGUGCGGGCUGCGAAAGUGGUACCAAGUCGUGGCAAACUCUGAAUACUAGACAAUGUUUUCCGUGAACCAGUGAGAAAAUCGGGGAUAAGCUUGAUUUUCAAGAGGGAAACAGCCCAGAUCACCAGCUAAGGCCCCAAAAUGGUGACUAAGUGGAAAAGGAUGUGGGAAUGCUGAAACAACCAGGAGGUUUGCUUAGAAGCAGCCACCCUUCAAAGAGUGCGUAAUAGCUCACUGGUAAAGCGUUCCUGCGCCGACAAUGGCCGGGACUAAGUCACCUGCCGAAGCUGUGAUAUAGGUUUCUUUUUUGACUUCUUUCUAAUGCGUCGCAUGGCUGUGCUCGCUACGCUUGCGGAGCAAACCCGUAUGGGUAAAGAGCAAAGCCAAGCGAAAGGAGUGCAGAAUAAAUAAAAAAAGCAACUAUAGGUAGGGGAGCGUUCCUUUUUGGGUGAAGUUUUCGUGAAAACAAAAAUGGACAAAAAGGAAGUGAGAAUGUCGGCUUGAGUAACGAAAACAUUGGUGAGAAUCCAAUGCCCCGAAAACCUAAGGGUUCCUCCACCAGGUUCGUCCGUGGGGGGUGAGUCAGGACCUAAGGCCAGGCCGAAAGGCGUCGUCGAUGGCAAACAGGUUAAUAUUCCUGUACUCUUCUAUUGAGAUCAGAGGAACGAAGGAGGCUAGACUCUACGACGAAUGGAUGAUCGUGGAAGCGUGUAGGCGUUGAGAGGUAGAAGAAAAACUAUCCUUGAGCAGAAGCGUGAUCCUUGCCUCGUCCCCGUAAGGGGGUGCACUAGGCACAGGCUUGCCUGUUUUUUACUUUAGUAAAAGAGGGGUAUAGUCGCGAGGUGAUGAGUUGAUGCCAAACUUCCUAGAAAAGCUCUCACAUCAAAACACAAUAGCUGUGUGUUUACACACAGUGUCCGCGUAGCGGACAAAGACCUGUACCUUAAACCGACACAGGUAGGUUGGUAGAGAAUACCAAGGGGCGCGAGAGAACUCUCUCUAAGGAACUCGGCAAAUUGACCCCGUAACUUCGGAAGAAGGGGUGCUUGCCUUCUGGCUUUUAGCCAGAGGUGAGUCGCAGUGACCAGGCCCAGGCGACUGUUUAUCAAAAACACAGGUCUCCGCAAAGUCGAAAGACAAUAUAUGGGGGCUNACGCCUGCCCAGUGCCGGAAGGUUAAGGAAGUUUGUCCGAGCAGAAAUGCACAAAGCGAACGACUGAAGCCCCGGUGAACGGCGGUCGUAACUAUAACGAUCCUAAGGUAGCGAAAUUCAUUGCCAAGUAAGUUUUGGCCCGCACGAAAGGCGUAACGAUCUGGGCACUGUCUCCGAGAGAGGCUCGGUGAAAUAGACUUGUCCCGUGAAGAUGCGGACUACCUACACCUGGACAGAAAGACCCUAUGAAGCUUGACUGUAUCCUGGAAUUGGGUUUGGGCUUUUCUUGCGCAGCCUAGGUGGGAGGCGCUGAAGGUUCCCUUCCGGGGGGGCUGGAGCCAUCAUUGAGAGACCACUCUGGAAGAGCUAGAAUCCUAAUGGCGAUCCUUGAAUCAGGACGCUUGACAAUUUCAGGUGGGCAGUUUAUUUGGGGCGAAUUUCUCCUAAAAGGUAACGGAGAAGUGCAAAGGUUUCCUCAGCCUGGACGGAAAUCAGGCAUGGAGUGCAAAAGCAAAAGGGAGCUUGACUGCAAGACCGACAAGUCGAGCAGGGGCGAAAGCCGGCUUUAGUGAUCCGACGGUUCCGUGUGGAAGGGCCGUCGCUCAACGGAUAAAAGUUACUCUAGGGAUAACAGGCUGAUCUUCCCCAAGAGUCCAUAUCGACGGGAAGGUUUGGCACCUCGAUGUCGGCUCAUCACAUCCUCGGUCUGUAGUCGGUCCGAAGGGUUGGGCUGUUCGCCCAUUAAAGUGGUACGUGAGCUGGGUUCAAAACGUCGUGAGACAGUUCGGUCCAUAUCCG